This 460-nucleotide ribosomal RNA is filed under the name uncultured bacterium. Its description in RNAcentral is "partial 16S ribosomal RNA". It matches the Rfam family "Bacterial small subunit ribosomal RNA", at positions 28 to 507 of the family's 1533-position model. The record is from RNAcentral.
GACGAACGCUGGCGGCGUGCUUAACACAUGCAAGUCGAGCGGUAAGGCCUCUUCGGGGGUACACGAGCGGCGAACGGGUGAGUAACACGUGGGUGACCUGCCCUCAGCUCUGGGAUAAGCCUGGGAAACUGGGUCUAAUACCGGAUAUGACCUUUCCUCGCAUGGGGUUUGGUGGAAAGUUUUUUCGGCUGGGGACGGGCCCGCGGCCUAUCAGCUUGUUGGUGGGGUGAUGGCCUACCAAGGCGACGACGGGUAGCCGGCCUGAGAGGGCGACCGGCCACACUGGGACUGAGACACGGCCCAGACUCCUACGGGAGGCAGCAGGGGGGAAUAUUGCGCAAUGGGCGGAAGCCUGACGCAGCGACGCCGCGUGGGGGAUGACGGCCUUCGGGUUGUAAACCUCUUUCGACCCCGACGAAUUUGGACGGUAGGGGUAGAAGAAGCACCGGCCAACUACGUG